This 484-nucleotide ribosomal RNA is filed under the name uncultured bacterium. RNAcentral's name for it is "partial 16S ribosomal RNA". It matches the Rfam family "Bacterial small subunit ribosomal RNA", at positions 28 to 507 of the family's 1533-position model. The record is from RNAcentral.
AUUGAACGCUGGCGGCAUGCUUUACACAUGCAAGUCGAACGGCAGCGCGGGCUUCGGCCUGGCGGCGAGUGGCGAACGGGUGAGUAAUGCAUCGGAACGUGCCCAGUAGUGGGGGAUAGCCCGGCGAAAGCCGGAUUAAUACCGCAUACGACCUGAGGGUGGAAGCGGGGGACCGAAAGGCCUCGCGCUAUUGGAGCGGCCGAUGUCGGAUUAGCUAGUUGGUGGGGUAAAGGCUUACCAAGGCGACGAUCCGUAGCUGGUCUGAGAGGACGACCAGCCACACUGGGACUGAGACACGGCCCAGACUCCUACGGGAGGCAGCAGUGGGGAAUUUUGGACAAUGGGGGCAACCCUGAUCCAGCCAUGCCGCGUGCGGGAAGAAGGCCUUCGGGUUGUAAACCGCUUUUGUUCGGGAAGAAAUCCUCUGGGCUAAUACCCCGCGGGGAUGACGGUACCGGAAGAAUAAGCACCGGCUAACUACGUG